Molecule: ribosomal RNA, 634 nt
Filed under: Salmonella enterica
Lineage: Bacteria; Pseudomonadati; Pseudomonadota; Gammaproteobacteria; Enterobacterales; Enterobacteriaceae
Description: partial 23S ribosomal RNA
Rfam family: Bacterial large subunit ribosomal RNA
Source: RNAcentral
GUUAUCACGGGAGACACACGGCGGGUGCUAACGUCCGUCGUGAAGAGGGAAACAACCCAGACCGCCAGCUAAGGUCCCAAAGUCAUGGUUAAGUGGGAAACGAUGUGGGAAGGCCCAGACAGCCAGGAUGUUGGCUUAGAAGCAGCCAUCAUUUAAAGAAAGCGUAAUAGCUCACUGGUCGAGUCGGCCUGCGCGGAAGAUGUAACGGGGCUAAACCAUGCACCGAAGCUGCGGCAGCGAACGUAUCACCCAAGACAACUUUACGGAGUUGACGAUUGACGGAGCGAAGCGACGUCAAAGCGUUCAUUAAAGUCGAGUUGGCUUAGGGAUACGUUCGUUGGGUAGGGGAGCGUUCUGUAAGCCUGCGAAGGUGGCCUGUGAGGGUUGCUGGAGGUAUCAGAAGUGCGAAUGCUGACAUAAGUAACGAUAAAGCGGGUGAAAAGCCCGCUCGCCGGAAGACCAAGGGUUCCUGUCCAACGUUAAUCGGGGCAGGGUGAGUCGACCCCUAAGGCGAGGCCGAAAGGCGUAGUCGAUGGGAAACGGGUUAAUAUUCCCGUACUUGGUGUUACUGCGAAGGGGGGACGGAGAAGGCUAUGUUGGCCGGGCGACGGUUGUCCCGGUUUAAGCGUGUAGG